Molecule: ribosomal RNA, 468 nt
Filed under: uncultured bacterium
Lineage: Bacteria
Description: partial 16S ribosomal RNA
Rfam family: Bacterial small subunit ribosomal RNA
Source: RNAcentral
GACGAACGCUGGCGGCGUGCUUAACACAUGCAAGUCGAACGGAAAGGCCCUGCUUUUGUGGGGUGCUCGAGUGGCGAACGGGUGAGUAACACGUGAGUAACCUGCCCUUGACUUUGGGAUAACUUCAGGAAACUGGGGCUAAUACCGGAUAGGAGCUCCUGCUGCAUGGUGGGGGUUGGAAAGUUUCGGCGGUUGGGGAUGGACUCGCGGCUUAUCAGCUUGUUGGUGGGGUAGUGGCUUACCAAGGCUUUGACGGGUAGCCGGCCUGGGAGGGUGACCGGCCACAUUGGGACUGAGUUACGGCCCAGACUCCUACGGGAGGCAGCAGUGGGGAAUAUUGCACAAUGGGCGGAAGCCUGAUGCAGCAACGCCGCGUGCGGGAUGACGGCCUUCGGGUUGUAAACCGCUUUCGCCUGUGACGAAGCGUGAGUGACGGUAAUGGGUAAAGAAGCACCGGCUAACUACGUG